This 159-nucleotide small nuclear RNA is filed under the name Zalophus californianus (California sea lion). RNAcentral's name for it is "U4 spliceosomal RNA (ENSZCAG00015015578.1)". The stretch from base 1 to 81 matches the Rfam family "U4 spliceosomal RNA". Rfam says of the family: U4 small nuclear RNA (U4 snRNA) is a component of the major U2-dependent spliceosome. The structure of U4 snRNA from yeast and human has been reported. Lineage: Eukaryota; Metazoa; Chordata; Mammalia; Carnivora; Otariidae. The record is from RNAcentral.
AGCUUCGCGCAGUGGCAGUAUCAUAGCCAAUGAGGUUUAUGCGAGGCGCAAUUAUUGCUAAUUGAAAACUUUUCCCAGUAGGGCCAAAUAACUCAAAAACCCAGAAAUGAAUUGUCUAAGUAUAAAUCCACUCUAAAUUAAAGGAACAUUGUUUUGAAG